CUCUCUCUAGUCACACUUUUUAUACCUAGUUCAUAACACACUUCUAUUUACUAAAAUGCUCUUUCACUUAUCCUAGACCUAAAUCCUCCUUUCUUAAGCUCAAUCACUUAUUCUUUCUACUACUAACUUAUUCCCUCUAAUAAAUAAAUCAUAAACACACAUAAACAAUUAAAUCAAUUAACCACAAAUAAACAAAUAUUCCUAAUAAUAAAAUUGGGAUGUUACA
This 226-nucleotide long non-coding RNA is filed under the name Trifolium pratense (red clover). RNAcentral describes it as "long non-coding RNA (TPRA_LNC004141)". Lineage: Eukaryota; Viridiplantae; Streptophyta; Magnoliopsida; Fabales; Fabaceae. The record is from RNAcentral.